Molecule: long non-coding RNA, 1216 nt
Organism: Daphnia pulicaria
Lineage: Eukaryota; Metazoa; Arthropoda; Branchiopoda; Diplostraca; Daphniidae
Exons: 3
Source: RefSeq, a predicted model, not a curated record
UCAGUCGAGUGAGGAUCUCCGACACGGCAACAACUGCAGCUCAUUAUUUGUCACCAACUGCCUUCAUUGUUAUACCGGUUCGCAAUCACGGGUAUCAACAACUAUGGCGCCAUGCUGCUGUUUGGUGUUGUAUGGUUAAUGGUUGGGUCGAUCACGGGUGUACAGAUGUCUCCUGGACAUGGUGGAUACCAAGCAACAGCAGCAAAAUGAUAAUACACCACGUCGACGCCUUACUACACAACAACGUCUAGAUACGCAACAUCUACUUGCUACGCCGUGGCUCUCAAGUACUACAUCACUGAGUAUAUUGUCCAAGCCUACUACACCGAAGUCCCCAAGUACUACACGACUACGAAUGCUGCCCCAUCUUACUACACCGAUGCUCCAUCUUAUUUCAAUACCAAAGCGGUCGAGUACUAUACCGAACCGCACAAGUACUACUCUGCCCCGAACUACACAACCACAACUGAGGCGGCCAAGUACUACUUAGCCCAGACUUACAACACAGCAGCUGUUCCUUCCUACUACAUUGAACUGUAAUACUACACCGAGGAUCCAGUCUACUACACCACAACCUACGCUACACCUAGAUACUACGACGAAGCCCCCCAACUACUACUACACCGAAAAGGCCACAUAGCCAAGUACACUGCCCCAGUUUACUUCACUAAGUGUAACUCUGCUCCAAGCUACUACCAAACUGAGGCUCCCGUCUACUAUACCAGUACACCAAGGCCAUCGAGUAUUACACUUCAACCAAAUGUUAUUAUUAGUUACAUCAGCAAGGCACCGGAGUACUACACCACCAAGGCACCGGAGUACUACACCACCACGUAUGCUGCCCCAGCCUUUUACACUGAGGCCUAAGUACUACUCCGUUCCCAGCUACUUCACCGAGGCUCCAGCUUAUUACGCCACCAAAGCGGUCAAAUACUACACCGAAGCGUCCUAGUACUACUCUGCACCGAAUUGCUACACAGCGGUUGCUCCUUCGUACUACGUUGGACCGAAAUACUAGACUGAGGUUCCCGUUCACUACUCUACAACCCACGCUGCCUUCAGCUACCAUACCGAGGCUUCGUUCCCAUACCCAUGCUCCUAAGUGCUACACAACUAAGGCACCCGAGUAUUACAUCACUACUUAGGCUGCUCCGACUUACUGCAUCGAAGCUGCGAAGUAUUCCACUGCCCUGAGUUACUACACCGUUAAGACACC